GACUUAGUGGCGGACGGGUGAGUAAUGUAUGAGCAACCUGCCUUUCAGAGGGGGACAACAGUUGGAAACGACUGCCAAUACCGCAUAAUGUAUUUGGGUGGCAUCACCUGGAUACCAAAGGAGCAAUCCGCUGAAAGAUGGGCUCAUAUCUGAUUAGCUUGUUGGCGGGGUAACAGCCCACCAAGGCGACGAUCAGUAGCCGGACUGAGAGGUUGAACGGCCACAUUGGGACUGAGAUACGGCCCAGACUCCUACGGGAGGCAGCAGUGGGGAAUAUUGGGCAAUGGGCGAAAGCCUGACCCAGCAACGCCGCGUGAAGGAAGAAGGUCUUCGGAUUGUAAACUUCUUUUAUGAGGGACGAAGGACGUGACGGUACCUCAUGAAUAAGCCACGGCUAACUACGUGCCAGCAGCCGCGGUAAUACGUAGGUGGCGAGCGUUAUUCCGGAUUUACUGGGUGUAAAGGGCGCGUACGCGGCGA
RNAcentral lists this ribosomal RNA (480 nucleotides) under uncultured rumen bacterium. RNAcentral describes it as "bacterial SSU rRNA". It matches the Rfam family "Bacterial small subunit ribosomal RNA", at positions 89 to 581 of the family's 1533-position model. The record is from RNAcentral.